CUACUGCAUGCUCUCGAGAGCGGCGGACGGGUGAGUAAUGCCAUAGAGAAUCUGCCUGGUAGUGGGGGAUAACGUUCGGAAACGGACGCUAAUACCGCAUACCUCCUACGGGAGAAAGCAGGGGACCUUCGGGCCUUGCGCUAUCGGAUGAGCCUAGGUCGGAUUAGCUAGUUGGUGGGGUAAUGGCUCACCAAGGCGACGAUCCG
This 206-nucleotide ribosomal RNA is filed under the name Pseudomonas lurida. RNAcentral's name for it is "partial 16S ribosomal RNA". It matches the Rfam family "Bacterial small subunit ribosomal RNA", at positions 78 to 283 of the family's 1533-position model. Lineage: Bacteria; Pseudomonadati; Pseudomonadota; Gammaproteobacteria; Pseudomonadales; Pseudomonadaceae. The record is from RNAcentral.